This is a small RNA of Herbaspirillum sp., 65 nucleotides long. It matches the Rfam family "Betaproteobacteria toxic small RNA". From Rfam's summary of the family: Overexpression in amino aid rich medium attenuates growth, suggesting role in repressing amino acid intake and metabolism. The record is from Rfam. Lineage: Bacteria; Pseudomonadati; Pseudomonadota; Betaproteobacteria; Burkholderiales; Oxalobacteraceae.
UGUCUCCUCCAACCCUCCCUGACUUGGAUUGAACCCGCUGCCGCAAGGUCAGCGGGUUUUUUUUC